ACAUGCUUACAUCAUAGCAUUAAUGCACUGGAUCCCAUUAUAACUCUGCAUUUAAGCAUGCUCGGACUAGGGUAGUGUUGGGAUGGGUGACCCCCCGGGAAGUCCUAGUGUUUUACAUGCC
Non-coding RNA from Picea glauca (white spruce), 121 nucleotides. Lineage: Eukaryota; Viridiplantae; Streptophyta; Pinopsida; Pinales; Pinaceae. The record is from Rfam.